UGCUUCGCGGCUUCCCGGGCACAGCGCAGGAAACCAGGCCGUCAGUCCCGUUUCUUCCCCUGCCCUAUUCGCGAGGAGCUGCAGAAGCGGCAGAAGAGGCAGCAUGUGUCCUGUUUGCAGCGCUGAAAUGACACCAGGAUGCUUGGGCACAGACGGAGGAGAGCGGAUAGUGCCCCGGUGCGCUGAAGGGCUGAACUAGGAUCACUGCUACUGUAAAGCCUUAUUGCAGGUAGCAUCAAGAGAGAAUAGGAUUUGUCGCACCAACACUGAACCAAGACUAAGCUUCAGCCCUUUAUAUGGAACUGCUGAAAGAGGAAGCUGCAGUACUGAAAGCAGUCAGUCUUGACUGCGUGAGACCAUGCCUCUCACAGAAGUGCUUCACAGUUGUGUGCAUGAUCUGGUAGGUUGGUGAGACUACCACGUUUUCCUUGGACAAGUAUCAGAACUUCAACUUGAACAAGCUGGGAUUAAGUUGUACUCAUUUUAGAAGAGCAUUCAUCCAACAUAUGGACAAGACAGUUUGAAGAAGCACACUGCUUAAACUGACAAUGAUUUAUUGUGUUUAGGAACAUUUAAUAAACACCAAUCUUUUAGCUUCAGUUUGGAAAUCCUUCCCCAUCAAAAAUCAGUAAUUUGUGUAGUUUUUUCUGGCAUAAACCCCAUUGCCAGCAAUGGAUGUAUCAGAAAAAGAAGUUAAUAAAUACAAACAGACAGCAGUUUUCUAAACAUACCUCCUCUUUUAAAGGCAUGAUACAGAUUUACUAAACAAAUAUCAAACAAGUUCUUCACAGAAGAAAAUUUUGCUACAAGCUGUCUCUAAACAUUGUUUUCUUCACUAAUGCUGGUAGUUUAUUUCAUGGAUUAUGGUAUUUUUGAACCGUAAUGAUGAAUCAUUUAAAAACAAGCCUUUCCCUCCUUUUCCUUUGCCAGAUGUAUGCUGAGACAUGUAGCUAAUACUGAACUGUGUGAAUUUAAGAGUGGUGUGCCUCUUGUUGAGCACAUCAUGGCAAACAUGAAGAAACAGCAAUAUGGUACUUUUUUUACUAGGGAUCUGAGGAAUUUAUUUUUUCAUCUUGAUUUUAAACCACUGUUCAAGUGUUAAAGGUAUCAUAUGUAAGUGUAACAGAUGUUUUGCGUAACUUUCUGUGAAGUGUAAAAACAAUGGAAGAUUCCUGUUUCUGAGGAAAAUAAUUUUCAAGUACUUAAAUUUGAAUAUCCCUCUAAACUCCAUUCAUAUCGUAUUAAAAAUGUAUAUAAAAGCAUGAAGACUACAGAAAACCAAUUAACAGAGUUAAUCUUGAAUAAGGUUUUCCACAACUGUAUUUUACAUAUAACCAAACUUCUGCUUUAGCAAAAGCAAAAAGAAUAAAAAUAAAUUCUCUCCCAAUUAUUUAUACUCAGGAAUUACCUUGCUCUGGGACAAGAUAGUUCAGUCUACAGUCCCUCUAACCCAAAGUGUACUCUUAGCUGUAUCCCUUUGUGAUUUAGCGUCUUGGAAGUUUUCAGCAAACCUCUCUCUUGCUUUAUCCCAGUUCUUUUUAUUCUUGCUCUGAACAAGCUGAACAUCUUCAAUUGAGGCUGGUCUCCUUGUACCUAAACCUGCAUGCUUCUGAUGUAACUCCAGUUGGAUCUGUCAAAUACAUGAAAUAUUGUUGUAA
Molecule: long non-coding RNA, 1658 nt
Organism: Zonotrichia leucophrys gambelii
Lineage: Eukaryota; Metazoa; Chordata; Aves; Passeriformes; Passerellidae
Exons: 3
Source: RefSeq, a predicted model, not a curated record